Molecule: ribosomal RNA, 1602 nt
Filed under: Escherichia coli
Lineage: Bacteria; Pseudomonadati; Pseudomonadota; Gammaproteobacteria; Enterobacterales; Enterobacteriaceae
Description: partial 23S ribosomal RNA
Rfam family: Bacterial large subunit ribosomal RNA
Source: RNAcentral
CAUAGGUUAAUGAGGCGAACCGGGGGAACUGAAACAUCUAAGUACCCCGAGGAAAAGAAAUCAACCGAGAUUCCCCCAGUAGCGGCGAGCGAACGGGGAGCAGCCCAGAGCCUGAAUCAGUGUGUGUGUUAGUGGAAGCGUCUGGAAAGGCGCGCGAUACAGGGUGACAGCCCCGUACACAAAAAUGCACAUGCUGUGAGCUCGAUGAGUAGGGCGGGACACGUGGUAUCCUGUCUGAAUAUGGGGGGACCAUCCUCCAAGGCUAAAUACUCCUGACUGACCGAUAGUGAACCAGUACCGUGAGGGAAAGGCGAAAAGAACCCCGGCGAGGGGAGUGAAAAAGAACCUGAAACCGUGUACGUACAAGCAGUGGGAGCACGCUUAGGCGUGUGACUGCGUACCUUUUGUAUAAUGGGUCAGCGACUUAUAUUCUGUAGCAAGGUUAACCGAAUAGGGGAGCCGAAGGGAAACCGAGUCUUAACUGGGCGUUAAGUUGCAGGGUAUAGACCCGAAACCCGGUGAUCUAGCCAUGGGCAGGUUGAAGGUUGGGUAACACUAACUGGAGGACCGAACCGACUAAUGUUGAAAAAUUAGCGGAUGACUUGUGGCUGGGGGUGAAAGGCCAAUCAAACCGGGAGAUAGCUGGUUCUCCCCGAAAGCUAUUUAGGUAGCGCCUCGUGAAUUCAUCUCCGGGGGUAGAGCACUGUUUCGGCAAGGGGGUCAUCCCGACUUACCAACCCGAUGCAAACUGCGAAUACCGGAGAAUGUUAUCACGGGAGACACACGGCGGGUGCUAACGUCCGUCGUGAAGAGGGAAACAACCCAGACCGCCAGCUAAGGUCCCAAAGUCAUGGUUAAGUGGGAAACGAUGUGGGAAGGCCCAGACAGCCAGGAUGUUGGCUUAGAAGCAGCCAUCAUUUAAAGAAAGCGUAAUAGCUCACUGGUCGAGUCGGCCUGCGCGGAAGAUGUAACGGGGCUAAACCAUGCACCGAAGCUGCGGCAGCGACGCUUAUGCGUUGUUGGGUAGGGGAGCGUUCUGUAAGCCUGUGAAGGUGUGCUGUGAGGCAUGCUGGAGGUAUCAGAAGUGCGAAUGCUGACAUAAGUAACGAUAAAGCGGGUGAAAAGCCCGCUCGCCGGAAGACCAAGGGUUCCUGUCCAACGUUAAUCGGGGCAGGGUGAGUCGACCCCUAAGGCGAGGCCGAAAGGCGUAGUCGAUGGGAAACAGGUUAAUAUUCCUGUACUUGGUGUUACUGCGAAGGGGGGACGGAGAAGGCUAUGUUGGCCGGGCGACGGUUGUCCCGGUUUAAGCGUGUAGGCUGGUUUUCCAGGCAAAUCCGGAAAAUCAAGGCUGAGGCGUGAUGACGAGGCACUACGGUGCUGAAGCAACAAAUGCCCUGCUUCCAGGAAAAGCCUCUAAGCAUCAGGUAACAUCAAAUCGUACCCCAAACCGACACAGGUGGUCAGGUAGAGAAUACCAAGGCGCUUGAGAGAACUCGGGUGAAGGAACUAGGCAAAAUGGUGCCGUAACUUCGGGAGAAGGCACGCUGAUAUGUAGGUGAAGUCCCUUGCGGAUGGAGCUGAAAUCAGUCGAAGAUACCAGCU